Molecule: long non-coding RNA, 739 nt
Organism: Haliotis rubra (blacklip abalone)
Lineage: Eukaryota; Metazoa; Mollusca; Gastropoda; Lepetellida; Haliotidae
Exons: 3
Source: RefSeq, a predicted model, not a curated record
GUAAAGUUCUUGGACCCUAUCAGUGCCUCCUGGAGGGUACAAAUACUUCGAUGGAUCACAACCUCAACGGCUGUGACAAGGUAUUCGUAAUGAGCACCAUACCAAAGGUUAUCGGAGGUGCCUGUCAAGAUCACAAGUGUGGCUUUGACGAGCUAUGUGUCCCUGCUAGACUUGGAUACAAAUGUCUGAAAAGCAAAUAGGGGUUUCAAGUAUCGAGGGCAGAAUCCUAAAAGGGAGGAAGACGCUCGAAUCCAUGACGAAUUGAUAUGCUUGACAUAACCUGUUUUAAUCUGACUCAUACUUGCUUGACAACAAUACAAGAAUCUGCAUCGUCACAUCAUCCGAAUAAAGAAGUUGUUCAUCCAUAAAGUUUUUCCUUAUCUAACGCAAGGGUAUUCCUUGCCAUCUGUCUACGGGAUCGGGAUCAAUCUAACUGUAUACUCUAGCAACCAAAUACAGUUAACACCCAUAUCAUCUUGCUUAAAAAAAUUUAAUUCGUCUUGUACAUUGGCUUCUCAACUUAUGUAAUUUGUUGUUCUUGCUCUCAACGUGACCUCUUCUAAUCAUUUGUUGUUUGUUAUUAAUUAGUGAUAAUAUGCUUCUUGGCACAGCAUGCUACGAAUUAUACUUCUCAUCACCAGGUUGUAGUGAAUGUUACCUUGAUAACGGUGUAAGCAUCUAUUUAUAAACGUCCCUCUAGUACAUAAACAAACAGUUGUAAACAAACAGUCGUUUGUUU